RNAcentral lists this ribosomal RNA (761 nucleotides) under Prevotella nigrescens. RNAcentral's name for it is "bacterial SSU rRNA". It matches the Rfam family "Bacterial small subunit ribosomal RNA", at positions 28 to 776 of the family's 1533-position model. Lineage: Bacteria; Pseudomonadati; Bacteroidota; Bacteroidia; Bacteroidales; Prevotellaceae. The record is from RNAcentral.
GAUGAACGCUGGCUACAGGCUUAACACAUGCAAGUCGUGGGGAAACGGCAUUAUGUGCUUGCACAUUCUGGACGUCGACCGGCGCACGGGUGAGUAUCGCGUAUCCAACCUGCCCCUUACUUGGGGAUACCCCGUUGAAAGACGGCCUAAUACCCGAUGUGUUUCAUUGACGGCAUCCGAUAUGAAACAAAGGUUUUCCGGUAAGGGAUGGGGAUGCGUCUGAUUAGCUUGUUGGCGGGGCAACGGCCCACCAAGGCGACGAUCAGUAGGGGUUCUGAGAGGAAGGUCCCCCACAUUGGAACUGAGACACGGUCCAAACUCCUACGGGAGGCAGCAGUGAGGAAUAUUGGUCAAUGGACGCAAGUCUGAACCAGCCAAGUAGCGUGCAGGAUGACGGCCCUAUGGGUUGUAAACUGCUUUUAUGUGGGAAUAAAGUGGCGCACGUGUGCGCCAUUGCAUGUACCUCAUGAAUAAGGACCGGCUAAUUCCGUGCCAGCAGCCGCGGUAAUACGGAGGGUCCGGGCGUUAUCCGGAUUUAUUGGGUUUAAAGGGAGUGUAGGCGGUCUGUUAAGCGUGUUGUGAAAUUUAGGUGCUCAACAUUUAACUUGCAGCGCGAACUGUCAGACUUGAGUACACGCAGCGCAGGCGGAAUUCAUGGUGUAGCGGUGAAAUGCUUAGAUAUCAUGAGGAACUCCGAUCGCGAAGGCAGCCUGCGGGGGUGUUACUGACGCUUAAGCUCGAAGGUGCGGGUAUCGAACAGG